RNAcentral lists this RNase P RNA (388 nucleotides) under Betaproteobacteria bacterium. Its description in RNAcentral is "RNase P RNA component class A". It matches the Rfam family "Bacterial RNase P class A". From Rfam's summary of the family: Ribonuclease P (RNase P) is a ubiquitous endoribonuclease, found in archaea, bacteria and eukarya as well as chloroplasts and mitochondria. Its best characterised activity is the generation of mature 5'-ends of tRNAs by cleaving the 5'-leader elements of precursor-tRNAs. The record is from RNAcentral. Lineage: Bacteria; Pseudomonadati; Pseudomonadota; Betaproteobacteria.
GAAGCCGGCCAGACGGUCGCUGCGUGCCGCAGGGUACGGAGAGGAAAGUCCGGGCUCCAUAGAGCAGGGUGACGGCUAACGGCCGUACGUACUAGUCGGAGGCUUGCCUUUGGCGAAGACGAGGAAUAGGGCCACAGAGACGAGUCCUUGGGACCGGCGCGCGGACUCGUCCGCGCGUCUGGCGCCCAAGGGGUGAAACGCGGUAACCUCCACCCGGAGCAACACCAAAUAGGCGGAUGCUGCACGCGCAGGCUUGGCGUGCUAUGAGCGGCUCGCUCAAGUUCGCGGGUAGGUGGCUGGAGCCCUGGGGCAACCCAGGGCCUAGAGGAAUGACCGUCAUAGGGAGCAAUCCCCGUAACAGAACCCGGCUUACCGGCCGGCUUCACUU